ACUCAAAUGAAUAGACGGGGACCCGCACAAGCGGUGGAACAUGUGGUUUAAUUCGAGGCAACGCGAAGAACCUUACCAGGAUUCGACAUGCCCUCUAUGGAAAGCUGAAAGGCAUUCCUUCACUUCGGGUGGGAGGAGCACAGGUGCUGCAUGGCUGUCGUCAGCUCGUGUCGUGAGAUGUUGGGUUAAGUCCCGCAACGAGCGCAACCCUCGUCCUCUGUUGCUAACAGGUAAUGCUGAGAACUCUGAGGAAACUGCCGGUGAUAAGCCGGAGGAAGGUGGGGAUGACGUCAAGUCCUCAUGGCCCUUACAUCCUGGGCUACACACGUGUUACAAUGGUGGUGACAAUGAGUCGCGAUCCCGCAAGGGCUAGCUAAUCUCAAAAAGCCACCUCAGUUUGGAUUGUACUCUGCAACUCGAGUACAUGAAAUUGGAAUCGCUAGUAAUCGCGGAUCAGCACGCCGCGGUGAAUACGUUCCCGGGUCUUGUACACACCGCCCGU
This 502-nucleotide ribosomal RNA is filed under the name uncultured bacterium. Its description in RNAcentral is "partial 16S ribosomal RNA". It matches the Rfam family "Bacterial small subunit ribosomal RNA", at positions 899 to 1397 of the family's 1533-position model. The record is from RNAcentral.